CUUUUUCUUAUCGAUUCCGCAGAAUUGUGAACGUCCAUCUAAGAGAGCUGAAGCAUUAAGGAGCCCUCUUGAGUCAUCCGAUGAGCGAUAUGGAAGCGACGAUUUGAUUGGUUUAAACGGUCGGUUCUCUCCCCUUCAUGACGGGCAACUGAGCGAGAUGCUUCAGCUGACAGGGCCUGUUGGCAGGGUCGGCAGGGAGCAGGAGGGUGACACUUGGUAGAAAAGAUUGCCACAAUCUUUGGGGAGCUGUAUCUAUGGUCUCCAUGGCAACUGCUGUUGACAGGCUUAAAUCCGUAACUAGGCAACCAUUUUUUAAGAUUCUGCUUCACAAAAUAAAAAUUAUAUCUUUUAAUUUUUAACAGUUAAAAUGUUCACAAGUCUGCAAAUAAAAUAAGAACGAUUGAAAUGAAAUGGUGAAUUAUCAUUAAAGAAAAACACAAUAAACAUGUUUCGGUCAUCGCAAGAUUGUUGUCUUCUAUUUCCUCAAAUAAACUUGAUUAC
Molecule: long non-coding RNA, 501 nt
Organism: Physella acuta
Lineage: Eukaryota; Metazoa; Mollusca; Gastropoda; Physidae
Source: RefSeq, a predicted model, not a curated record